This 348-nucleotide long non-coding RNA is filed under the name Salmo salar (Atlantic salmon). Its description in RNAcentral is "lncRNA (ENSSSAG00000111491.1)". Lineage: Eukaryota; Metazoa; Chordata; Actinopteri; Salmoniformes; Salmonidae. The record is from RNAcentral.
CUGAUCACACAGUCAGGCUCCAGCAUCUUGUUAUUGAAGUUUUCAAGAGACUGUCACCAUGGCGACGAUGUUGACCGUCCUUAUCCUACUCAGCAUUGCCUUUGCAUGGCAGGAGGCCUUCCAGGCUUCUGGUCUAGCAGAUGUUAGGAGGAGGCAAGAGGCAGGAGGCCUUCCUGGCUUCUGGUCUAGCAGAUGUUAGGAGGCAGGAGGCCUUCCAGGCUUCUGGUCUAGCAGAUGUUAGGAGGAGGCAGCAUUUUUUUCUCUCUUUUUGCAGUUCUGUCACUAUUGUGAAAGUUGUUUCAGACUUAAAGCAUAUAGCCCAAUUGACAAGUACUUCAUGACUGUGCC